RNAcentral lists this ribosomal RNA (215 nucleotides) under uncultured fungus. RNAcentral describes it as "partial 18S rRNA". It matches the Rfam family "Eukaryotic small subunit ribosomal RNA", at positions 1460 to 1673 of the family's 1831-position model. The record is from RNAcentral. Lineage: Eukaryota; Fungi.
UUCUGUGAUGCCUCUUAGAUGUUCUGGGCCGCACGCGCGCUACACUGAUCAAGUCAACGAGUUUACAACCUUGGCCGGAAGGUCUGGGUAAUCUUUUGAAACUUGAUCGUGCUGGGGAUAGUCCAUUGCAAUUAUUGGACUUCAACGAGGAAUUCCUAGUAAGCGUGAGUCAUCAGCUCGCGUUGAUUACGUCCCUGCCCUUUGUACACACCGCA